UGGCGAACGGGUGAGUAACGCGUGGGUGACCUGCCCUCCAGUGGGGGACAACCUUGCGAAAGCGGGGCUAAUACCGCAUGACAUGGUGGGAUUGGAGACCCACCAUUAAAGCCUUCGGGCGCUGGAGGAUGGGCUUGCGUCCUAUCAGCUAGUUGGUGAGGUAAUGGCCCACCAAGGCGAUGAUGGGUAGCUGGUCUGAGAGGACGACCAGCCACACGGGCACUGAGACACGGGCCCGACUCCUACGGGAGGCAGCAGCAGGGAAUUUUGGGCAAUGGGCGAAAGCUUGACCCAGCGACGCCGCGUGGGGGAAGAAGGCCUUCGGGUCGUAAACCCCUUUUCUGGGGGAAGAGAAAGGACGGUACCCCAGGAAUAAGUCUCGGCUAACUACGUGCCAGCAGCCGCGGUAAUACGUAGGAGGCAAGCGUUAUCCGGAUUUACUGGGCGUAAAGGGGAUGUAGGCGGCCCUUUAAGUCCGAGGUGAAAUCUCUCGGCUUAACCGAGAGGGGUCUUCGGAUACUGAGGGGCUUGAGGGCAGCAGAGGGAGGUGGAAUUCCCGGUGUAGCGGUGAAAUGCGUAGAUAUCGGGAGGAACACCAGUGGCGAAGGCGGCCUCCUGGGCUGCCCCUGACGCUGAGGUCCGAAAGCGUGGGGAGCAAACCGGAUCAGAUACCCGGGUAGUCCACGCCCUAAACUAUGGACACUAGGUCUGGGGGGUAUCGACCCUCUCCGGGCCGAAGCUAACGCGUUAAGUGUCCCGCCUGGGGAGUACGGCCGCAAGGCUAAAACUCAAAGGAAUUGACGGGGACCCGCACAAGCAGCGGAGCGUGUGGUUUAAUUCG
RNAcentral lists this ribosomal RNA (841 nucleotides) under uncultured bacterium. RNAcentral describes it as "bacterial SSU rRNA". It matches the Rfam family "Bacterial small subunit ribosomal RNA", at positions 96 to 953 of the family's 1533-position model. The record is from RNAcentral.